RNA transcript from Macaca mulatta (Rhesus monkey), 11072 nucleotides. It is a transcript of the gene named nuclear receptor-binding factor 2 pseudogene, with no coding region annotated. NCBI's taxonomy places the organism in Eukaryota, Metazoa, Chordata, Mammalia, Primates, Cercopithecidae. The record is from RefSeq and is a predicted model, not a curated record.
AGGACUGAGAGCGCCCCCGUCACCCUGCCCCCGCUUCCUCCUGCACCAGCUCUGCAGGGCCUGGUGGGGGUCAUGGGUCCUGCAACACCGUCUCCCCGCAGUUCCUCAAGCAGCACUCUGUGAGGCCCUGUGCCCGGCUCUGGUGUGAGUUGGUGCCCUGGCAGCGCUAAGGGAGACUGGACAGAGAAGCUGGCCUGGGCCCGGUGGAGGGGAGGAGGGCCCUCAAGUGGGUUCCCAACCAGGAGGGGAAACCGGCUCCUGGUGACACAGCCUGGCCCCAUUGCCCACCCAGUGUCCCGAGUACCCACGGAUCCCACCUGCCUCGAGUCCCGGGCAGAGCUGGCCGGCCACUGGGCAGUCCCUUCCCCAGCCAGCCCGACCCAGCCUGCACUCCUUCCCCCUCCGUGGGGGAAGCUCCGUGGCUUGGCUUCCCCGAGAGCUGCCAGAAACUAGGAUGAAAGCCCCGGUGAGCACGGCCUCUGCUCCCCCGCACCAUUUCCUGGGGUGUCUGGAUUAACAAGCUCAUUUGAUCUGGUUACAGUGAAUUUUCUUCAAAGAAACACUCAAUCGGGUCCCUUGUCAGAGUGCCUCGCAGCACCUGAACGACGGUGACUGGGCACGGCUGCCUUUGUUCUGCCACCGUCAGAUGGGGCUGGCUGUGGGAGGCGACCAAAGACGUCCCCGCACCUGCCCUCGGAGCUUUUCCCUCCUCCAGGGCUCAGCCACCUCAGGCGGCCUUCAGUCUGUGCGUCCUGCCACCCCGGAGAUGUCCCAGAGGCCACGGUCACCCCAUCUGUUCCUGCCCCCAGAACCUUCUCCUGGAGCCAAGUAUCUGCAGGGACAGACAAGCGAGCAUCUGGGGGUUUGGUGCUGGGGUGUAGAAGGCUGUGGGGUGCUGCCCUGCCCCAGGCAGCCUGACUGUGACAGCCCCAAAUAGGAGACAUCCCAGCCCCUUCCCCUCCCCUCUACACUGCCCGCCCUCUGAGGAGCAGUGGCCAAGUUCCUCUCUGAACCUCUCAGGCCAGGCUGGCCCUGUCCCCCAGGGCCUCCCAUGAAGCCUGGGAGCUAUUCCCUCACAGGCAGCACAGACCUGGACGGACACCUGUCCCUGUGACCCAGCGCCCCCAGGCCCCAGUGAGGAGUAGCCGGGGGGUGAACAAGGGGGUUCCUGCUGCCUGGACUUGUUUGGGAAGCAGAUGCUGGGCUCAAAGGUUCUUCAGACAACCUCACCUUCCCUGCUGGCCCCAGAGCAUGGCAGGUCCCUGGAGCCGUGGAGGCCAUGGCAGCCCCAGCCCAGCCCACCCCACCCCAUCUGGGGAAGUGGAAACCGUAUCCACGAGGGUCAGUUCAGGUCUCUGCCUACAGUGACCUGGCAGUUUUGUGCCCAACUAGGGCCUGGGUCAGGCCCAGGCUGCCCCCACACCCUACCCAGAGUUCAGAGAAGACGGCCCAGCCUUCUCCCCACGUCAGUCAUGCUGAGCCCCGCGUCUGCGUUCACUCCUUUAAGGAACGUGGUUGACUCAAUUCAGUGCUGCAUAUUCACAGGAUGGCUCUCCAUGGGUCCACUAGGGGCCCAACCUCUUAUGUGGCCCCUCGCUAAAAGGACUCAACAGAAAGAGUGACCAGGCACUGACCCUCGUUUGCAGGAGGACUUGGCCAUUCCCUGAGCUGUCCCACAGCACCUGCCGGCCAGGGCCCAGGGCACAGAGCGAGACUCUGUCUUUUCCUCAAGGAGACACCAUGGGGGAGGGAAGGAGAGGUAGACACCACCAACCUCAUCCCAUGACCAGGGGCUGGCGACGCUCAGAGGCCUGUGGGUGUGUUCUCCACCCUGAAGGGUCAGUGCCAGCUCCCUGGACCCAGGGGAAGAUGACGCAGGCGGUGGCCCAGCCUGGGGAAGGAACUGAAGCCACCCUCCUGGAGAGAAACUGACGCCUCCCCAGUUCCUGUUAGGAAGGACCUCAGGAAAGAACUGGGAUCAGGCAUCCUGGGUUGGCAGCCUUUUGGCCCCUGAGGAGGAUGUCAGGCCGCAGAAGGGAGGGGAUGGGCAUGAAGCUUGGGAAGGGGGCGCCAGAGGAGGCAAGGCCUGUGCAGAGGCAGCACCGGAGGCCACUGCAGUGACUCCACCACCCAGCAGUGCCGCCACGAGUCAGGAAGUGGGAGGCCAGGCAGGAGGGGCUGUGAUGGCCCAGGUGCCAGGAGAAAGGGCUGAGGGGACAGUGCAGGCGUCCAGAGAGGCCUCGCGGGGACAGGCUGAGAAAGUCACAGGUGGGGAUGGGCUUUCUCUAGAGUUGUGUGUGGCCUGAGGACAGUGCAGCAAGGAGGGCCCGUGGUGAGCGCAUGCAGCUGAAGCGACAGCUUGGACUCCUUUGUGGGACAAGAGCCUCUCGAGGCCACUGCGGGGUGUUCAGAGAACAAGGCCUGUGAGGAUCUGCUGUGCCUGCAGCUGGUCAGUAGAACACUGGGUGUGCAGGGCCAGGGUGGGAAGGAGGAGAGCCGCAUGGACGAAGGAGCCGGGCCUGCCCAGCAGUGCCUUUUGGGAGGGCAGGCAGGAUGGGAUGUGCAGCUGUGACCUGCCGGGCAUAGAACUCCUUCCGGCCGGGGAGAGGAGGUCCCUUUUAGCCAGAAUGGACCAGGAGGUCCCAGAAAGACCUGGGAGUAAGUGGAUUGAGUUGGGCCUUAGAAGGAGAGCCGGGAACAGGCCAGGGGAGUUGGAGCCUGGCCAGGUAUGGAGAGAGCAGGGUACACUUGCUGCACCUGUGAGAGGAGCCAGGGGUGGCCCUGGUGGCCUGGGCCCACUUAGCUGGCUGCAAGUCAUUACUACAGGCUCUGGAUGGAGAGUGCAGAGUAGCACGCUCCUGCUCACUCCCUUCUCCAAGUCCACAAAGAGGCAAGAAAGGGAGGAUUUUAAACCCAAUCCAUACUGCAUGGCGGGUGAGAGCAGAGGAGCAAACAGCACUUUUGGAUCCUGGAAAGCAGAGGAUGAGUGAGUGUCCCAGGCAUCACUGACCUGAGAAAGGCGACUCCAAAGCCAGCAGCAGCAACAGCUGGAACUGCCCUAGCCUACACCACAGGACCCCCAGCUCUGGGACUGAGCAGCACCGGGGACCUCUGGGCUGGGGUGGAGAGGGAUGGCUGGAAUCACGUUGCAAACAAUAUAUUCAGUAGGCAGGCAGCUCCCUAGAUUCCACCAUGGUCUGCAGAGGCCAACACCUGUCCUGACAUCUUACCGGCGGGCCCUGGAGAGCCAUCUCCUACAGAGGCAAAACGAAGGGUCUCUGGGCCAGGACCAGGCCUGUUCAGGGGGAUGUGUGGCUAAGUGCAUAAGGGGUGCUGAGACUAGCCCUCGUGUCCAGGCAGUCCCCAGGGCAUGGGUAGCCAGGCCCUCCCCUUCCAGACCAGAAAUGAGAAGACUCCAUCUAAUCUCAUUGCAUGACCAGCGACUGGUGAAGCUGUCAGUUCUCUCUCCAUCCCAGCAGGAGACAACCCGACCUCAGAUAUCCCUCAACCCAGGGACCCAGCCAGGCCACCCUCCAGAGCAUCUCAGUCUGCAAGCCCCUUGGUAUACUUGGAGCUUCCAGUCACCCCGCUCAUGCCUAUCCAUGCACAGCCAGGGAUUGCCCUUCAUGGAGGAAAACUUCCUGAAACAAACAAGAAACAAGCUCCGUGGGGAACACAGACCGUGGAGGAAAAAGAAAGCUGUAGAAAAAGAUAGUGGACACCUUCAUGGAGGUGCGAGAGCCAUCGUGAAAGGAGAGGAGGUUAUAAAAAGUUCCUAGAGAGCAAAAUAAGGGCCCUUGGGGGCACAAUGAUUGCCACCAUGGAGACACAUUUCGGUGCCACUGGAGUAAAAACACUGCAGACGGGUGAGCUCUCAACAGAUAAAUGUCCCUCACCUUCUUUCUCAGGAAAGAUGGGCAGAAAUGAGGGCAGAAGCCACAGAGAGGAAACCGUGGUGACAGGACCCAGGGUCCUCCAAGCUGCAGUGGAGCAAGUGCUCGGGACAGUGGCGAGGGAGCAGUUCAGCCCCAGGGUGGUGCCUGGCAGCCCGUCUCAGGACGUCCCGCCCAGGGCAGCAGUACAGCAACAUGGAUAGAAAGCCGAAUUCCCCAGAAGAGCCUGAGAGAACACUGAAGUACUUGGCAUAGAGCCUCGGGUUGGAUUCGUAGUACGUACAGAAUGAUCCGCAUGUGAAGAUAAGACGAUUAUUGGCUUCAGAGAAAACAGCAGUGCAAGCAAGAAAAGGUAGCUAGUCCCAGUUUACGAUCUGGCAAUAGCGUUUACACAGUCGUCACGAUAGAAAUGCCGAGUCAGGAUCUAGUUUACUGUAGAACUCUAUCAGGAGGACUGGAAGAUAGGGAAUGCAGUUGGUGAAAUGGAAGCUAAAUGCUCUUUUUCUUCAGUGGGAAGGUGUGGCUUGAAGAUGAUUAUAAACUCUCUGCCUCUUGAAUCUUGCCAGGCUCCGGGGCUGCUAAGCUAAUAAUGUGGCAGAAGGGGCACUGCUAGUUGCAGGCCCAGGCCUUCAAGACUAGCAGCUUCCCCGUCUCUGGAAACCCACCUGCCCUUCUGUGAGGAAGCCCAAGCAGCUCUGGAGAAGCCCUUGUGGAGGGGCUGCUCUCAGCCCACAGCCGGCACCAGAUGGGCAGCCAUGCAGACCCCCAGCCUGCAAGCCAGGCCCGCUGAGGCCUCAGAGUACACACAGGCAGUCCCAUCAGCCCUGCCCAGAUGGCAGUUUUGUGAUCAAAAUAUAGACAAUAGACUAUCAUUGUUUAAGGUUGUUUGGGGGUAGUUUGUCACACAACAAUAGAUAGUAGAACAUUAGUAGACUCUGUGUGUGUGUGUGUGUGGGGGGGGGGGGGCAUAUAUAUAUAGCAUAUAUAUAUAGCUUAAAAUUCAGACAUGAAGAAGUAUCUUAUUUAGCAACAGUGGUAAAUAUUAAAAUAAAAAACCAAGAGAGGGGAAAGUGGUUGCCUCGGAGAUGGGAAAAUGUGAGGAGGGAGACGGGGAACUGCUGUUUGUUUUGUUUUAACCUCGUAGAUCGGUUUGAUACUUUAAACUACAUUCACUUAUAAUUUGGACAAAAGUAAAAACUGAAGUUGAAAAAAAAUGUAUUCAUGCUUAGCACAGGAAUGAUCCAUAAUUAGAUUCCAAGGCUUUUACAUUCAGCAUAAGGUGUAUGAAACAGUCCACUAUUCUAGCAACAGAUAAAAUUCCUACUGACACGCAACCUCAGGUUCCCACUCGGUUAGAAGGCUGCGUAUGGUCUUCUACUUAAAGCCUCAAGUAACAGUCAUGGCAGUGACAAAUCCUCAUUGCCUCCAUGGAACCUCUAGGCUCAUGUGUGAGCCCAGGCUGGGCUGGGGUCCCUGGGAGCCCAGGGUGAGUGGCCAGUCCCUGGGCAACUCCGUGAGCCAGGAGCAGCUGUGUCACCUGCACGGUCGAUGGGUCUCCUGCAGAAGAGUGUGCCCCAGUCCUUGCUGGGCACAGAUGUAAGAGGUGUUCAUGGGUCGAAAUCACAGAUGUCAAGGGCUGAUAGGAGUCAGAGUGGGGACUGGGAGGGCUGAGGCAGGUUAAAGAUUUGAGAGGGGCUGCUGUCUGCGCAGCUGCAUCACACUGCUCUGCUGUCCCCUCCACGUUCCCCCACUGCGGCCUCCCCUGGGGUCUUGAAGUAACUGAAGGCCCCUCAACCUGGCUCAUCAUCAGAGCAGACUGUUGAUUAGCUGCGGGCAAAUAUGAAGAGGCGAUUUCCUGUCACAGAAAGGCUGUGGUGUCUUUCUGAAGCUACGGAGCUGACGCAGGCUGAGCAGGCUGACCUUCCGCUGGAACUGCACAGGCAUAGCCACGCGAAACUGCGCUGGUUUGCCCAGGAGACGCGGACAAGGGCCCAGUAGAACGCAGACAAGGAUGGGGCUGCCCAUCUUCAGGCCUCUCACAGCCCCUCUGCUGAAGAUGCAGAAGCACAGCCCUCCACAGAGGAACGCCCACCCGAGACUCAGGGCGUCUGUGACAGGGAUCCAGACACACGACUGUUUUUACUUCAGCAAAAGACUGAGCCAGCAGAGCUGUGUAUUGGAAGCAAAGCCUCAAAGCACGAUGAACACCUGUAGAGGAGCAGGCAACCCAGUUGCAGAUUUGAAGAGGCAUGUGGAAUUCCUUGUGGCAGAGAAAGAAAGGUUGAGGAAAGAAAGUGUAAACAGGUAAAGGCUGAAAAGACCAGACUUCUAAAAGGUCCAGUAGAAAAGGAGCUGAAUGCGGGUGCUGAUUUUGUAGAAAAGUCAGUUACGGAGCGUGCCUCUGCAUUCGGAAACCGCUGCACCCUCUUCAGCCUUGCAGAGGUUUGCAGCAGAUGCCAGGAAAGUCAAGUACGUUCCAGUACCCGAUCUUCUCCCUCGGAUUUUCCAUCUCCAGAGCGUCCCCUUACAGAGCUCUCUCAGGAUAUUCUGAAAGGAUUUAUGAGUAAUUAAAAUGGAAGGCCAUAGAAGAAGGGAGAAGAGGAAAUAGUACUAAAUAAUACAGUUAAUGCAGCAACAAACAAUGAAAAGGGAAAGCCACAGGCAAGGGUAAUGCUGGAAAUGCCUCGUCAUCUGGCGUACUGUGGGAGAAGAGGCAUUGCCAGGACAUGGGGAACAGUCACUGUGAAGCGUGUCGCAUAUCGGAUUCACUGACUUGAGCUAAUGAUGCCGACGUGGCAGACACUAAACUCAUGGAGGGUCAGUUUCUCCUGAUACCAACCAAAUGGCUUCCUGGAAGAUUUUUUUCAAGCAGCAAUUAUUUUUCUUAUCGUCAGGGUUAAAAUGUUUAAAAGUAUGUUAUGUGUAAUUAAUCUAUAAUGCCAUAAAUGAUCAUGCAAAACCUAAAUAUUAAAAUGACGGCCUGAGGGGCUGCUUCGUAUUUGAAACAUACUUUGUCUCAGGCAUUGAUGUAUGCAUUUUGUUAAUGAUGUUGUGUUUAAGGUGUGUAAGACACUCCUUUCUAGAUGAAACCGGAUGUGCCACACUGUGCACUACUCGUAACAAUGAUAACCUCAAGACUAUCAGGAGAAAUGUUUAAAUUUCCGUGUUAUGAAGAAACCAAAUUAUUAGUUAUGCUUCUUAACACCAGUUACCAGUUUACAUAAUUAAUAAGGGUGCAUUUUAAGUUCUAACUCUGUUUAUUGCAUAAUGCAUCAUUUGAAAAUACCAAGGAAGUCUGUUCUUUGUUUUUAAUGAUCCGCGAGUGGAAGGAAUGCUAGUUGGCAGUAUUUGAUUGUAAGAAAUCAAUAAAGUAAUUGUAUUUUUUAAAAAAAGAUCUGAGCCCUGGUGGAGGCAACAGGACGCGAUGACUUUCACAUUCAAGAAGGUUCUGGAGAGCGAUGCCUUUCACAUUCAAGAAGGUUCUGGAGACGAGAGGUGAUUCUUAGAAUGAUGAGCUUCAAUUUGCACAUGCCUGAGUUUAGGUUCUGAAUUUAAAACCUUAUUGUAAGAUCAUCUCUUUGUACCUUCUCUCUUUUUAAGGGUUUUUAUAGUUUGGUGGCAGUUUGUUGUUUUGUUUUGUUUUUAAUAUUUAGAAAGUCACUUUAGGAGAAACAUCCAUUUAAAUAAUUUAUUUUACUUCAGAAUGUUGUUUUUCUCAACCAGGCUCAUGAACUGUGUUGUGUUCUUUAACAUUCACAAAUUGUGUAUUGCUUGGUUCUGGAAACCAGUUAGCCAAAUAAUUGAGACCCCACCAGAAAUUGAAGUGCAAAAUAGAACAGGAAAGCAAAACUCUCCAUUAGUGUAUUCAGCUUAACAGGUUUUCAACCUACCAGUCGUCCUCCUGGUUCUUAUGAUACAAGAUCAAGGUUAAACCACUGAAUACAGUUACAGUGUCCUUGACUUCAUAAGCUUUCCUUUCCACGCAUCCAUAUAGAUGCCCGAAGCACCGUUCAGGGCAGAAUUUAGUCUUGUCCCACACUCUCAAAGGACAACCAUGAUCUAGGACUUGGCUGAACCACACACCUACCAGGUGCCCCUGCCUGUGCUGCCAUCCUUGGGCCAAGGGGAGGCCUGGCCCUUGCCACUUCAGCAGGGGUGAAGGGUCAGUCCACUUGGGGCUCAGGGUGCCUGUCUGAGCGCCCCCUCCCUGAACCUGCUCCUGUGCCUGCAGCUUCCCGCAGGCUGAGGCCCCAGUGCCCUGCUUGUGCUGCUGAGGGAGGCUCCAUGGCCUGUUGAGAGGCCUCCCCAGGAAGCCCGUGGGGAGGAGGUUGGGGUGUCUCCUGCCUUGGGGGUGGGACAGUCCCUUCUUGUUCCCACCCCAGGUACCUGACCCAAGUUCUUCUGUGUGUGAGGAAUGCCUGGAUGUCCCUCCCUGGUAGGUGGGAUGGGACAGAGGGAGGUCCUGCCUACACAGCCCUUAAUUAGGAAUUUAAGAGAUUUGUGCUCUAGGAAGGAACUGCUUCCGCUACCAUUUGGCCCACUGUGUGGUGUGCAGACCCUCAGAUCGGAAACAGGUUUCAAAGAUGUUCAGGACUUGUCUCGUGUUCAUGAAGGUCAGGGUUCACCUCUUCCCCCCUGCUCCCCCUGCUAACUCUGCAGCAGACCCUGCACUAAUUAAGUCCCCACAACAGCCCUGAGCCCCAGGCUCUGUGAAAGUUGUCAGAAUCAAAAUGGAGCCACUUUUGUCCAACCCUAAGAGCAACAGCAAAAUAAUGUAGCCGGGAGGUUGUGAAGGAGGCCCCACCCGCACACCUGCCUGUGAUUCCGAAGCCUCUGGGAAGGGCUCUGAGGCGCAGACGCCUGAAACAAGACCUUUUUCCAGAACUUCUCAGGACUUUGCAGCUCGCUACAUGAGUCAAAAGGACGGCUAGCCGGAUGCACAAGAACACUUGCUUGAUACGCUGUGUCCACUUGUAAAUUGAUGUCCGCUCCUGGGAUAAGCCCCUGGAACCAGUGUUCUCUUCCUUUCAAAACAACCAUGUAGCCAAAUGUGGUGGCAAGUGCCUGUAAUCCCAGCUACUCAGGAGGCUGAGGCAUGAGAAUCGCCUGAACCCAGGAGGUGGAGGUUGCAGUGAGCCAAGAUCGCACCACUACACUCUAACCUGGGCAAUAGAGCAACUAAAAAAAAAAAAAAAAAAAAAAAAAAAAAUGAGCAUGCACUGCUCCUUUGGCCUUUCAAAGCCCUCCUUGCUUCCCCUCUGAUGCGCCCCUAGUUUACUAAGGCUGGGGCUCCACAUGCAGUGCUGCUGCUUGUUCCCAAUUAUACUCCACAGUUUUGGGGAGCCUCCCUCUGUUUCUUGAGGUUGGCAGGACUAUCAUUCUUCUUGUUCGUAGAUGAGGGAAUUAAGGCUUGGAGAGGUUCCGUUUUGAAGGACACUCAGUAAGUGGUGGAGAGAGAAUUUCAGCUCAGACCCAAAGGCUAUUUAAUUUACUUCUUUUAAAUCCGUGCUUCUUAGCGCUCAGCUAAUCACCUAUCACCUUGACAGCUUUUUGCCAUAGCCACAUUACUGCCUGUGGUAUUACUGAAUGUUUUUCUCUACAUAAGCUCAGAUUUUCCUUAAAUCUAUUAGAAAAGAAAACUUGUAACUGAAAAAUGGGGGACCACCAUCUCUUACCGUAAACAGAAGCCACUGUGUAUUCCACACACACCAAAAGCAAUGUCCUUACAGCCUCCUUAGGUGCUUUGAGUCUAAAGCAUGCUUUGUCUUGUUAAAGGGGAGAUGGCAAAGUUAGGGUGGCAGUGAAGACAUUAUAGAACCAACUGAGAUUCUCUCCUUGACAUUAUCAGAAGGGUUGGAAGAGAAUCAAAAAAUAACCAGCUGGGCACAGUGGCUCAUGCCGUAAUCCCAGCAGUUUGGGAAGCCAAGGUGGGCAGAUCGCUUGAGCCCAAAAGUUUGAAACUAGCCUAAGCAACAUAGCAAGAUCUCGUCUCUACAAAAAAUACCAGCUCCACAGGAGGCUGAGGCAGGAGGAUGACUUGAGCCCAGGAGGCCGAGGUUGCAGUGAACUGAGAUCACACCACUGCACUCCAGUCUGGAUGACAAAGCUAGAUCCUGUCUAAAAAAUAACUUUCUCAUUGUGAAGUUUAAUGCUAUUUAAUGUCUUGUCUGAUGGCAGCUAAAACAUGCCCCAUACCACCUAAUCUGGAGUAUCACACUUUGGAAAUAAGUGUGUGUCACAUUUUGGAAAAUGCUGAUUGCAGUGAAAGUGGGAAAUGUGGCUGGAACCCAUGCAUCUAAUCUGGAUCACAUUGCAUAGUGUUCAUUCCUUUUUCCUUCUUUGUUUUUAAGAUACGUCAAACAUGAUGAAUAGUGCAUAAAACAGAAAGGUAUGGCCUGAAGAAUAAUUACAGAAUUGAACACCAAAGUAACUGCCACCCAGAUCAAGAAAUUGUGGCCAGGGUUCCCCCACACCGCCCCAUACCUUUCCCAUUGAAAACACUAUUCUUUCUUACCACUGAAUGUUUUUUCUUUUUAAAGAUAAGAUCUCACUGUGUUGCCCAAGCUGGUCUUAAACUCCUGGGCUCAAGCGAUCCUCCGGCCUCUUAAAGUGCUGGGAUUACAGGUGUGAGCCACUACACCCACCACUGAAUUUUUGGAUACUCAUUUUAUUUUCAUAGGUUUUUUUUUUUUUUUUUUUUUUUUUUUUUGAGACAGAGUCUUGCUCUGUCACCCAGACUGGAGUGCAGUGGCACGAUCUUGGCUUACUGCAGCCUCCACCUCCCAGGUUCAAGUGAUUCUUCUGCCUCAGCCUCCAGAAUAGCUAGGAUUACAGGCACAUGCCAUCACACCCAGCUAAUUUUUGUAGUUUUAGUAGAGAUGGGCCAUGUUGGCCAGGCUGGUCUCAAACUCCUGACCUCAGGUGAUCUGCCCGCCUCGGCCUAGUUGCUGGGAUUACAGGCAUGAGCUACUGCACCCGGCCUCUUUUCAUAGUUUUAUCCCCCAUAUAGUUUAGGUUCGCCCCAUUUGAACUUCAUGUAUGAGUAAGAUAUGUUCUAUCCUAUGUGUUCCUUUGUGAUUUGCAUCUUUUGUUCAACUUUGUGUUUUUGAGAUUUGUUUAAUCUGUUGUGUUACAAAAUCCUGGUCAUUUCCAUUGCUAUAUAAUAUUCCAGUUAUGAAA